GGGAUCGCCCUUAGAGUUUGAUCCUGGCUCAGGACGAACGCUGGCGGCGUGCCUAAUACAUGCAAGUCGAGCGAAUCAAUGGGAGCUUGCUCCCGUUGGUUAGCGGCGGACGGGUGAGUAACACGUGGGCAACCUGCCUGUAAGACUGGGAUAACUUCGGGAAACCGGAGCUAAUACCGGAUAAUUCUUUUCCUCUCAUGAGGAAAAGCUGAAAGUCGGUUUCGGCUGACACUUACAGAUGGGCCCGCGGCGCAUUAGCUAGUUGGUGAGGUAACGGCUCACCAAGGCGACGAUGCGUAGCCGACCUGAGAGGGUGAUCGGCCACACUGGGACUGAGACACGGCCCAGACUCCUACGGGAGGCAGCAGUAGGGAAUCUUCCACAAUGGACGAAAGUCUGAUGGAGCAACGCCGCGUGAGCGAUGAAGGCCUUCGGGUCGUAAAGCUCUGUUGUUAGGGAAGAACAAGUACCGGAGUAACUGCCGGUACCUUGACGGUACCUAACCAGAAAGCCACGGCUAACUACGUGCCAGCAGCCGCGGUAAUACGUAGGUGGCAAGCGUUGUCCGGAAUUAUUGGGCGUAAAGCGCGCGCAGGCGGUCCUUUAAGUCUGAUGUGAAAGCCCACGGCUCAACCGUGGAGGGUCAUUGGAAACUGGGGGACUUGAGUGCAGAAGAGGAAAGCGGAAUUCCACGUGUAGCGGUGAAAUGCGUAGAGAUGUGGAGGAACACCAGUG
This 735-nucleotide ribosomal RNA is filed under the name Bacillus sp. Pu16. Its description in RNAcentral is "bacterial SSU rRNA". It matches the Rfam family "Bacterial small subunit ribosomal RNA", at positions 1 to 714 of the family's 1533-position model. Lineage: Bacteria; Bacillati; Bacillota; Bacilli; Caryophanales; Bacillaceae. The record is from RNAcentral.